Amphiprion ocellaris (clown anemonefish) is the source of this 1132-nucleotide long non-coding RNA. RefSeq lists it as uncharacterized. The record is from RefSeq and is a predicted model, not a curated record. The transcript is spliced from 3 exons. Lineage: Eukaryota; Metazoa; Chordata; Actinopteri; Pomacentridae.
GCGCGAUACACGAACAGACAAAGAAGUCGUCUUUGUUACGUGAGUUUCUACAAUGGUGGCCCUGUAUCGCCAGUCCGACUCACCACAAACUCCUCGCAUAGAACAGCCUGGACAUGACCGACUGGUUCCAGUCAGACCCGCGACAGACACUGAGAAGAAACUAUUGAGCGUUAUCAGCGGGCUGUCUGGCCAGAGAGGACCGCUGGAGCAGAAACUGGAGGAGAAGCUGGAGGAGAGGAUAGUCGCCAUGGAAGCCAAAUUAAACACUUUCUCCAGCGGCGAGGAAAUUCAGCGGAAAAGAGGAGAGCACAGUCCUAAAAUUGCGACUGGGCUUGCCUCACAAUGAGACAGUCAGGACAUAUUUAGUUAAAACUUUGGCUGAAGUCCAGAUGUGGAGACAGAUGUCCUUCUAUCUGAUUGUAAAAAGCAUUUUGAAACUCUACGGAGGAACUACCGCAACAGUCAACCCAACAUGGCAGAUCAGGCGGAGGCCAUGAAGUCUUCUGCCCGGAGUCGCCGCAGAAGAAAGAGAUAUUAGUUUGAUUCAUUGCAUUGUGUGUUUUAUACAAAAUGUGGUUAGAAUAGUAUUGCUUGUCGCUGUGACAUUAUUUUUCUGUUAAAUUAUUAUAGUAUUGAUUUCCUGUACUGAUUGUGUUCACAGCUGCUGGAUGCCAGGAAGACAGUCCUUGCUCCAGAUGAAGAGGACUUCUGGAAGGGCAUCACAACUGACAUGAUGUCAGAUGAAGAGGACGGCAGCAUUGACGGGGUGCGUGGAUGGAUAGUACGGCCUCCAUCCUUCCACAGCCAGGAGCUUGCCAACCUGUGUGCAGCCCUACAGGCUGGAGGCUGAUGUAAAGUACACAGCUAUACAUCACAGGCGUUUUCGCAAUGGACAGCCGUCUGAUAGACUGAAGCCACUGAAGUACAACGCAGCAGCCAGAAAACAUUUUUUUUUUUUUUUUUUUAAUAAUUUAUUUUUUUUUUUUGGUUGAACUUUGCACAAUUUUAUUUCAUUUUUGUCAUUUAAAAAAAUGUUUGUAAAUUUUUUGUUUUUAAAGACAGUUUAUUUUAAUUUUGAUUUCAGAUUUCUGGAACUCUAGACUGUUCAAUAAAGCUCUUGUUUCUCAACAUG